AUGGAGCUGUUCCAGGACGGCCAGCGCGUGCGGCUGCGGAGCCGCGCGCGCGGGACGUACCUGCACGCCGACGAUGACGGGCUUGGCGUCUCCCUCCGCCGGCUCCGCGCGUCGAUGAACGUGGCUUGGACGGUGCACUUCUAUCAGGGCCGGUACCUGCUCUUCCAGAGCGCCGUCUACGGUGGCUACCUCACCGCCACGUCCGCGCCGGCGCGGCGCGGCCACCGCGGGCGCCGCGUCGAGCAGCGCAACUACUUUCACUCGGAGGUGGAUCUAAUGCUUUGGCAGGCCGUCCACAUGGAGAACCUCUUCCUCAACCACAUGAACGGCGGCAACCUCCGCGCCAACGGGAGGUACCGCCGCUGGAACAACGGCGUCAGCGUCGACCACAUCGACGACAUCAACAACAUCAGCACCAUGAUGCAUUGGGUCGUGGAGGUCAUCCCCGCCAGGGAGAUCAUGCCUCGCCUUCCACGUCCGUCUCCGUUGACUUUUCGCCCCCCUCAUGUCCAAAUUCUGGCUCCGCCCCUGGGUGGGAGGUCCGUGCUCCGCCUGAGGAGCGAGCUGGCUAGGCGGCUGGGCGAGCUCGCAAUCAUGGACUUGGAGGUCGCCGACCUCGUCAUGUGCUUGCCCACGCAUGAUGGCCAGCUUAUUCCACUGGUCGUCGAUCUGCCCCGCAGCGGCGAGACCCUCCACAUCGUCGUCGUCAUCGUCGGGUCGCCUGUACGAGGGGACGAACUGCUCUGUGACAUCGAGGAGUACAUGGACAUGACAAGUAGGCCGGAGAUGACCGAGAGGGUGAAGGAGAAAGUACGAACGAGUGGGAACGAAGAUGAUAAUGGCCGCGUGCACGGCACGUACCUGCACGCAGACGACGACGGGCAUGGCGUCUUCCUCCGCCAACACCGGGCGUCGAUGAACGCGGCUUGGGCGGUUCACCGGCACCAGAUCCAGAACGAGCAGUACCUGCUCCUCCACAGCGCCGCCUACGGCCGCUACCUCGCCGCCACGGACGUGCCGGCGCCGCGCGACCACCGCGGGCUCCGCGUCGAGCAGCGCAACUACAACCAUCCUGAAGUGGAUGCAAUGGUUUGGCAGGUCAUCCUGUCGGAAUCCGGGGAAGGGGUCUACCUCCGCCACAUCGGCGGCCGCCGCCUCCGCGCCAACGGGAGGUACUGGAACACCGACGCCACCGUCGACUACGUCGACGACCUCGACAACAUCAGCAGGAAGAUGCUCUGGGUCGUAGAGCAAAUCCCCUCCAGGGAGAUCAUACCUCCCCUUCCACGUCCCACUAGGCUUCCCCACCUGACGUUGCGGUCGCGGCUGAUCAUGUACAUUUUGCCGACCGUCUACGGGGCCCUCCUCGCCCGCGGCACGUUCGUGUUCAGGGGGAGGUCCGUGUACCGGCUGAGGAAGGAGCUGGCCAGGCAGCUGGGCGUCAUCGUAAACGUGGAGGACUCCGACCUCUUCAUGUGCCUCCCCACGCAGGAUGGCCGGAUUUUUCCACUCGUCGUCGACCUGCCCCGCAGCGGCCAGACCCUCCACAUCGUCGUCGUCGUCGCCGGAACGCCUGUAUCUGUUUCAAUUACUCUGAACUCUGAACGAGAAGCCCAGGCGGCGCUGCGGUACGCGGAUGUCGAUGCAUAG
Molecule: ribosomal RNA, 1650 nt
Filed under: Triticum aestivum (bread wheat)
Lineage: Eukaryota; Viridiplantae; Streptophyta; Magnoliopsida; Poales; Poaceae
Description: partial small subunit ribosomal RNA
Source: RNAcentral